GGUAUAGCCCUGCUUCACCUGGUUAUAGCCCCAGCUCACCAACAUAUAGUCCAAGCUCUCCAGGAUAUAGUCCUAGUAGCCCUACAUAUUCACCGACAAGUCCAUCCUACUCCCCUACCUCCCCCAGCUACAGCCCCACCUCCCCCAGCUACAGCCCCACCUCCCCAAGCUACAGCCCGACCUCCCCAAGCUACAGCCCCACCUCACCUGCCUACAGCCCCACCUCACCUGCUUACAGCCCCACCUCUCCGUCCUACAGCCCCACCUCUCCAUCCUACAGCCCGACCUCUCCGUCCUACAGCCCGAGCUCCCCGUCCUACAGCCCAACCUCCCCAUCCUACAGUCCAACCUCCCCAUCAUACAGCCCAACCUCACCUUCAUACAGUCCAACUUCUCCAUCAUAUAGUCCUACUUCUCCUGCAUACAGUCCCACAUCGCCGAGCUACAGUCCCACAUCUCCAAGCUAUAGUCCUACAUCUCCAAGCUACAACCCUUCAUCUGCAAAGUACAGCCCCUCCCUGGCAUAUUCCCCGAGCAGUCCAAGACUAUCACCAUCCAGCCCGUACAGUCCGACAUCCCCCAGUUACAGGCAAG
This 594-nucleotide long non-coding RNA is filed under the name Daucus carota (carrot). RNAcentral's name for it is "long non-coding RNA (DCAR_LNC003388)". Lineage: Eukaryota; Viridiplantae; Streptophyta; Magnoliopsida; Apiales; Apiaceae. The record is from RNAcentral.